Molecule: ribosomal RNA, 513 nt
Filed under: uncultured bacterium
Lineage: Bacteria
Description: partial 16S ribosomal RNA
Rfam family: Bacterial small subunit ribosomal RNA
Source: RNAcentral
GACGAACGCUGGCGGCAUGCCUAAUACAUGCAAGUCGAGCGAACAGAUGAAGUGCUUGCACUUCUGACGUUAGCGGCGAACGGGUGAGUAACACGUAAGGAAUCUACCUAUAAGCGGGGGAUAACAUUCGGAAACGGGUGCUAAUACCGCAUAAUAUCUUCUUCCGCAUGGAAGAAGAUUGAAAGACGGCUCUGCUGUCACUUAUAGAUGACCUUGCGGUGCAUUAGUUAGUUGGUGGGGUAACGGCCUACCAAGACGAGGAUGCAUAGCCGACCUAGGAGGGUGAUCGGCCACAUUGGGACUGAGACACGGCCCAAACUCCUACGGGGGGCGGCAGUAGGGAACCUUCCGCAAUGGGCGAAAGCCUGACGGAGCAAUGCCGCGUGAGUGAAGAAGGCCUUCGGGUCGUAAAACUCUGUUAUAAGAGAAGAACAAAUUGUAGAGUAACUGCUACAGUCUUGACGGUAUCUUAUCAGAAAGCCACGGCUAACUACGUGCCAGCAGCCGCCGUAA